UCCUGGUUAACCCAGGCAGUCUCAUUAGAGUUCCCAUCUUAAUGUUGGCAACUAAUGAUAAGGGUUGCGCUCGUUGCGGGACUUAACCCAACACCUCACGGCACGAGCUGACGACAGCCAUGCAGCACCUGUGUAGAGACCCCGAAGGGAGAUCGCAUUUCUGCGACUGUCCUCUACAUGUCAAGUCUAGGUAAGGUUCUUCGCGUUGCAUCGAAUUAAACCACAUGCUCCACUGCUUGUGCGGGUCCCCGUCAAUUCUUUUGAGUUUCAGCCUUGCGACUGUACUCCCCAGGCGGUAUACUUAACGCGUUAGCUUCGGCACAACUAGGGUUGAGUCCAGUUACACCAAGUAUACAUAGUUUACGGCAAGGACUAC
RNAcentral lists this unclassified non-coding RNA (376 nucleotides) under uncultured Parachlamydiaceae bacterium. RNAcentral describes it as "contains 16S-23S intergenic spacer region". Lineage: Bacteria; Pseudomonadati; Chlamydiota; Chlamydiia; Parachlamydiales; Parachlamydiaceae. The record is from RNAcentral.